UACGUAGGGGGCUAGCGUUGUCCGGAAUCAUUGGGCGUAAAGCGCGUGUAGGCGGCCCGGUAAGUCCGCUGUGAAAGUCGGGGGCUCAACCCUCGAAUGCCGGUGGAUACUGUCGGGCUCGAGUGCGGAAGAGGCGAGUGGAAUUCCCGGUGUAGCGGUGAAAUGCGCAGAUAUCGGGAGGAACACCUAUGGCGAAGGCAGCUCGCUGGGACGUUACUGACGCUGAGACGCGAAAGCGUGGGGAGCAAACAGG
This 253-nucleotide ribosomal RNA is filed under the name uncultured bacterium. Its description in RNAcentral is "partial 16S ribosomal RNA". It matches the Rfam family "Bacterial small subunit ribosomal RNA", at positions 524 to 776 of the family's 1533-position model. The record is from RNAcentral.